RNAcentral lists this ribosomal RNA (413 nucleotides) under uncultured bacterium. RNAcentral describes it as "bacterial SSU rRNA". It matches the Rfam family "Bacterial small subunit ribosomal RNA", at positions 355 to 759 of the family's 1533-position model. The record is from RNAcentral.
UGGGGAAUAUUGCGCAAUGGGGGAAACCCUGACGCAGCGACGCCGUGUGAGGGAAGAAGGCUUUCGGGUCGUAAACCUCUGUCAGGAAGGAAGAACCUCUCAAGGCUGAACAAGCCUUGGGACUGACGGUACUUCCAGAGGAAGCACCGGCUAACUCCGUGCCAGCAGCCGCGGUAAUACGGAGGGUGCAAGCGUUAAUCGGAAUCACUGGGCGUAAAGCGCGCGUAGGCCGUCUUUUAAGUCGGACGUGAAAGCCCUCGGCUCAACCGGGGAACUGCGUUCGAUACUGGGAGACUUGAGUCCUGGAGAGGGUGGCGGAAUUCCGGGUGUAGGAGUGAAAUCCGUAGAUAUCCGGAGGAACACCGGUGGCGAAGGCGGCCACCUGGACAGGUACUGACGCUGGGGCGCGAAAG